GAACGCCGGAUGCGGUGAAAGUCGCAUGUCCGGUGUGGACCGGGGGAAAAGACAGAGAUAACCUCAAAGUUUUACCUAUCGGUAU
Molecule: non-coding RNA, 85 nt
Filed under: Pseudocoprococcus catus GD/7
Lineage: Bacteria; Bacillati; Bacillota; Clostridia; Lachnospirales; Lachnospiraceae
Source: RNAcentral